Molecule: ribosomal RNA, 253 nt
Filed under: uncultured bacterium
Lineage: Bacteria
Description: partial 16S ribosomal RNA
Rfam family: Bacterial small subunit ribosomal RNA
Source: RNAcentral
AACGUAGGAGGCAAGCGUUAUCCGGAGUUACUGGGCGUAAAGAGCGCGCAGGCGGUCGGAUUAGUCGCGUGUGAAAGCCCCCGGCUCAACUGGGGAGGGUCACGCGAUACUGUUCGACUCGAAGGCAGGAGAGGGAAGUGGAAUUCCCGGUGUAGUGGUGAAAUGCGUAGAUAUCGGGAGGAACACCAGUGGCGAAGGCGACUUCCUGGCCUGUUCUUGACGCUGAGGCGCGAAAGCUAGGGUAGCAAACGGG